GACGAACGCUGGCGGCGUGCUUAACACAUGCAAGUCGAACGGAAAGGCCCUGCUUUUGUGGGGUGCUCGAGUGGCGAACGGGUGGGUAACACGUGAGUAACCUGCCCUUGACUUUGGGAUAACUUCAGGAAGCUGGGGCUAAUACCGGAUAGGAGCUCCUGCUGCAUGGUGGGGGUUGGAAAGUUUCGGCGGUUGGGGAUGGACUCGCGGCUUAUCAGCUUGUUGGUGGGGUAGUGGCUUACCAAGGCUUUGACGGGUAGCCGGCCUGAGAGGGUGACCGGCCACAUUGGGACUGAGAUACGGCCCAGACUCCUACGGGAGGCAGCAGUGGGGAAUAUUGCACAAUGGGCGGAAGCCUGAUGCAGCAACGCCGCGUGCGGGAUGACGGCCUUCGGGUUGUAAACCGCUUUCGCCUGUGACGAAGCGUGAGUGACGGUAAUGGGUAAAGAAGCACCGGCUAACUACGUG
This 468-nucleotide ribosomal RNA is filed under the name uncultured bacterium. RNAcentral describes it as "partial 16S ribosomal RNA". It matches the Rfam family "Bacterial small subunit ribosomal RNA", at positions 28 to 507 of the family's 1533-position model. The record is from RNAcentral.